RNAcentral lists this ribosomal RNA (1591 nucleotides) under uncultured marine dinoflagellate. RNAcentral describes it as "eukaryotic LSU rRNA". The stretch from base 634 to 1591 matches the Rfam family "Eukaryotic large subunit ribosomal RNA", at positions 1 to 840 of the family's 3401-position model. Lineage: Eukaryota; Dinophyceae. The record is from RNAcentral.
GUCGUAACAAGGUUUCCGUAGGUGAACCUGCGGAAGGAUCAUUACACGAUAAUCCACUUUUAAACCCUGAACCUUACUGUGGGUUUCGGAGUAUCGCGGAAACGUGGUGUUUCAGACCCAACGGUACUGAUCGGGGGCAACCUCCAGGGGCUGUCUCUGUGAAGUGCCACUAGAUAAUCAUUAUCAACGCUUUCUCGCAUUUUUGUUGUUCUUGGAUUUUCAAUCCUAUUACAACUUUUAGCGAUGGAUCCCUCGGCUCGGGUAACGAUGAAGGACGCAGCAAAGUGCGAUAAGCUCUGUGACUGGCAGAUUUCCGCGAAUCAACAGAAUGCUGAACGCAUACUGCACUUCCAGGUUCUUCGGACCCUGGGAGUAUGUCUACUUGAGGGCGUUAACGCUCAAAUGUGAGACAACUGAUAGCUGUGCUAACGCGCUUGUUAUCAGUGUUUCGCGUCGUUGCGCGUCAAUGAUUGUGACUUAGUCCAUUGACGUGCGAAAUUUAUGCCUGUGGUUCAAAGCCAAGUUUAAGCUUCCGCUUAGCGUUUCAUUCUGUGAUUCCAUAGUGGCUUGCUUCCUAGGUUUGCCUACGGCUGUCAACGAUUCUUUUCGGUUGAUCCGAAUAAUUGUUGCUUCUCGCAUCAAGUUAGACAGGGCUACCCACUGAAUUUAAGCAUAUAAGUAAGUGGAGGAAAAGAAAAUGAACAUGAUUCCCUUAGUAAGGGCGACUGAACCGGGAAGAGCUCAACUUGUAAAUCCGGAACCUUGGUUCCUGAAUUGUAGUCUUAAUAAGCAUUACUAGUGAUGAGCCGGGCGUAAGUCUUUUUGGAAGAAAGCAUCAGAGAGGGUGAGAAUCCCGUAUUUCCUUCGCUCGGAUUUCAUCGCGUUCAGUGUGCUGUUUAGAGUCGCGUACUUUGGAAGUGGUGCGCUAAAUGGGUGGUAGUUUUCAUCUAAAGCUAAAUAUCGACUCGAGACCGAUAGCAAACAAGUACCGUGAGGGAAAGGUGAAAAGUACUUUGGAAAGAGAGUUAAAAGUAUGUGAAAUCGCUAAGAGGUAAGCGAAUGAAACCAGUUUAUUGCAUCGAGAUUGCAGUUGCUGAGGGGGACGUGUUUGCUGGUCACCGUAAGGGGCUGGUGGGUUCGGUAACCUGAAGGCAGCAGUGUUGCUCGGUGUUAAGAGUCAACUUCAGUUGGGUGUUCUGCGAAAACCGCUGUUUGUUCCACACUUCGCUGCGGUGUCGUGUGAGCGGAUGGUUGGGAGCAUUACCCCGACUGAGGACUGCGGGUGUGUGGCCACCUUUCUAUAAUUAUGCCGACAGCUUGCCCUACUCCUGGAGUGCGGUGGGUCUAGGUAUAAUGCGGGGAGAUCCAUGUGCUCUGUGAAGUUGACAAAAUAGUUUUAUUCGACCCGUCUUGAAACACGGACCAAGGAGUCUAGUUUUUGUGUAAGUGUGAGGGUGGCAAACCUUUACGCGGAAUGAAAGUAAGAGUUUGGAUUUUUUAGUUUUGCACAAACGACCGACUUCGAUCUUUUGAGAGAGGUUUGAGUACGAACAUAAUGGCUAGGACCCGAAAGAUGGUGAACUAUGCGUGA